Molecule: ribosomal RNA, 443 nt
Filed under: uncultured Rhodospirillaceae bacterium
Lineage: Bacteria; Pseudomonadati; Pseudomonadota; Alphaproteobacteria; Rhodospirillales; Rhodospirillaceae
Description: bacterial SSU rRNA
Rfam family: Bacterial small subunit ribosomal RNA
Source: RNAcentral
UUUCCUACGGGUGGCUGCAGUGGGGAAUAUUGGACAAUGGGGGCAACCCUGAUCCAGCCAUGCCGCGUGAGUGAUGAAGGCCUUCGGGUUGUAAAGCUCUUUUGGCGGGGACGAUGAUGACGGUACCCGCAGAAUAAGCCCCGGCUAACUUCGUGCCAGCAGCCGCGGUAAGACGAAGGGGGCUAGCGUUGUUCGGAAUUACUGGGCGUAAAGCGAGUGUAGGCGGUUGUCAUAGUCAGGUGUGAAAGCCUUGAGCUCAACUCAAGAAAUGCACUUGAUACUUGGCGACUAGAGGACCGGAGAGGAUAGUGGAAUUCCCAGUGUAGUGGUGAAAUACGUAGAGAUUGGGAAGAACACCAGUGGCGAAGGCGGCUAUCUGGACGGUUACUGACGCUAAGACUCGAAAGCGUGGGGAGCAAACAGGAUUAGAUACCCGGGUAGUC